UAAGUAGACUGGAUGAUCGCAAGUAUGGUAAAAUGGGCUAUGCUUGAGGAAAGUCCGGGCUCCAUAGAGCAGGAUGCUGGUUAACGGCCAGCCGGAGUAAUUCGAGGGAAAGUGCCACAGAGAGCAAACCGCCGAUGGCCUUUAAGGCACAGGUAAGGGUGAAAGGGUGCGGUAAGAGCGCACCGGGGUUCUGGUGACAGAGUCCGCAUGGUAAACCCCAUCCGGAGCAAGACCAAGUAGGGAAAGGUUAAGAGUAGCUCGCUCAUCUUUCCGGGUUAGGUCGCUUGAGGUGGCAGGCAACUGUCAUCCUAGAUGGAUGGUCAUCACCCGUGAGGGUACAGAACCCGGCUUACAGGUCUACUUAUUUG
RNAcentral lists this RNase P RNA (368 nucleotides) under Orenia metallireducens. Its description in RNAcentral is "Bacterial RNase P class A". It matches the Rfam family "Bacterial RNase P class A". Rfam says of the family: Ribonuclease P (RNase P) is a ubiquitous endoribonuclease, found in archaea, bacteria and eukarya as well as chloroplasts and mitochondria. Its best characterised activity is the generation of mature 5'-ends of tRNAs by cleaving the 5'-leader elements of precursor-tRNAs. Cellular RNase Ps are ribonucleoproteins. Lineage: Bacteria; Bacillati; Bacillota; Clostridia; Halanaerobiales; Halobacteroidaceae. The record is from RNAcentral.